UGAGGAAUAUUGGUCAAUGGGCGCAAGCCUGAACCAGCCAUCCCGCGUGCAGGAAGACGGCCCUAUGGGUUGUAAACUCCUUUUUCUGGGGGAGAAUUUUUCUGUCGUGACAGGAAUUGACGGUACCCUGGGAAUAAGCAUCGGCUAACCCCGUGCCAGCAGCCGCGGCAAUACGAAGGAUGCGAGCGUUAUCUGGUCCUAUUGGGUUUAAAGGGUGCGUAGGCGGAUUGAUAAGUCAGUGGUGAAGACCUGCAGCUUAACUGUAGACGUGCCGUUGAUACUGUCAGUCUUGAGUGUGGUCGAGGUAGGAGGAGUGUGUAAUGUAGCGGUGAAAUGCUUAGAUAUUACACGGAACACCGAUUGCGAAG
This 368-nucleotide ribosomal RNA is filed under the name uncultured bacterium. Its description in RNAcentral is "bacterial SSU rRNA". It matches the Rfam family "Bacterial small subunit ribosomal RNA", at positions 355 to 720 of the family's 1533-position model. The record is from RNAcentral.